ACUGCCUGAUGGCGGGGGAUAACUACUGGAAACGGUAGCUAAUACCGCAUAACGUCGCAAGACCAAAGAGGGGGACCUUGGGCCUCUUGCCAUCGGAUGUGCCCAGAUGGGAUUAGCUAGUAGGUGGGGUAACGGCUCACCUAGGCGACGAUCCCUAGCUGGUCUGAGAGGAUGACCAGCCACACUGGAACUGAGACACGGUCCAG
Molecule: ribosomal RNA, 206 nt
Filed under: uncultured bacterium
Lineage: Bacteria
Description: partial 16S ribosomal RNA
Rfam family: Bacterial small subunit ribosomal RNA
Source: RNAcentral